UUUUAGCCGCGAUUGAAACGGCAUCCUUUUUUGUUAUUGCGUUGCCGAACAUUUUCUACUGAUAACUUUACGUUGUUCGCAAUGACAAAAAAGAUAGAGUGGAAAGCGCGACGGGUU
Molecule: small RNA, 117 nt
Filed under: Kaistella chaponensis
Lineage: Bacteria; Pseudomonadati; Bacteroidota; Flavobacteriia; Flavobacteriales; Weeksellaceae
Description: Chryseobacterium chaponense Flavo-1 RNA
Rfam family: Flavo-1 RNA
Source: RNAcentral